CAGCGCUUAUUGCGCGGCGAAAAAACCUUACACACAGUGUUUUUUGUUAUUACAAGAACUUUUGCUUUGGUCUGGACUAGAAAUAGUUUGGGCCAGAGGUUUACUGAACUAAACUUCAAUAUUUAUAUUGAAUUGUUAUUUAUUUAAUUGUCAAUUUGUUGAUUAAAUUCAAAAAAUCUUCAAAACUUUCAACAACGGAUCUCUUGGUUCUCGCAUCGAUGAAGAACGCAGCGAAAUGCGAUAAGUAAUAUGAAUUGCAGAUUUUCGUGAAUCAUCGAAUCUUUGAACGCACAUUGCGCCCUCUGGUAUUCCAGAGGGCAUGCCUGUUUGAGCGUCAUUUCUCUCUCAAACCUUCGGGUUUGGUAUUGAGUGAUACUCUUAGUCGAACUAGGCGUUUGCUUGAAAUGUAUUGGCAUGAGUGGUACUGGAUAGUGCUAUAUGACUUUCAAUGUAUUAGGUUUAUCCAACUCGUUGAAUAGUUUAAUGGUAUAUUUCUCGGUAUUCUAGGCUCGGCCUUACAAUAUAACAAACAAGUUUGACCUCAAAUCAGGUAGGAUUACCCGCUGAACUUAAGCAUAUCAAUAAGCGGAGGAAAAGAAACCAACAGGGAUUGCCUUAGUAACGGCGAGUGAAGCGGCAAAAGCUCAAAUUUGAAAUCUGGCACCUUCGGUGUCCGAGUUGUAAUUUGAAGAAGGUAACUUUGGAGUUGGCUCUUGUCUAUGUUCCUUGGAACAGGACGUCACAGAGGGUGAGAAUCCCGUGCGAUGAGAUGCCCAAUUCUAUGUAAAGUGCUUUCGAAGAGUCGAGUUGUUUGGGAAUGCAGCUCUAAGUGGGUGGUAAAUUCCAUCUAAAGCUAAAUAUUGGCGAGAGACCGAUAGCGAACAAGUACAGUGAUGGAAAGAUGAAAAGAACUUUGAAAAGAGAGUGAAAAAGUACGUGAAAUUGUUGAAAGGGAAGGGCUUGAGAUCAGACUUGGUAUUUUGCGAUCCUUUCCUUCUUGGUUGGGUUCCUCGCAGCUUACUGGGCCAGCAUCGGUUUGGAUGGUAGGAUAAUGACUAAGGAAUGUGGCUCUACUUCGGUGGAGUGUUAUAGCCUUGGUUGAUACUGCCUGUCUAGACCGAGGACUGCGUCUUUGA
RNAcentral lists this small RNA (1136 nucleotides) under Debaryomyces hansenii. RNAcentral's name for it is "eukaryotic LSU rRNA". The stretch from base 537 to 1136 matches the Rfam family "Eukaryotic large subunit ribosomal RNA", at positions 1 to 606 of the family's 3401-position model. The record is from RNAcentral. Lineage: Eukaryota; Fungi; Ascomycota; Pichiomycetes; Serinales; Debaryomycetaceae.